GAUGAACGCUGGCGGCGUGCCUAAUACAUGCAAGUCGAGCGGACGGACGAGAAUCUUGCUUCUCGGAUGUUAGCGGCGGAGGGGUGAGUAACACGUGGAUAACCUACCUAUAAGACUGGGAUAACUACGGAAAAGCGUAGCUAAUACCGUAUAAUAUUCUGAACCGCAUUGGUCGAUAGUAAGAGACGGUCUUGCUGUCAGUUAUAGCUGGAUCCGGGCUGGAUUAGGUAGUUGGUAAGGUAAUGGCCUACCAAGGCAAGGAUGCAUAACCGAGCGCAGAGGGUGAUAGCCGACCUGGGAGCGGAGCCAGGGACCAGACUCCUACGGGAGGCAGCAGUAGGGAAUCGUCGGCAGUGGGCGAAAGCAUGACGGAGCAAGGCGGAGCGAGUGAUGAAGGUCCUCGGAUCGUAAAACUCUCUUACGAGGGAAGAACAUAUGUGUAAGUAAACGUGCACAUAUUGACGGUACCUAAUCAGAAAGCAACGGCUAACUACGUG
This 497-nucleotide ribosomal RNA is filed under the name uncultured bacterium. Its description in RNAcentral is "partial 16S ribosomal RNA". It matches the Rfam family "Bacterial small subunit ribosomal RNA", at positions 28 to 507 of the family's 1533-position model. The record is from RNAcentral.